Cryptotermes secundus is the source of this 732-nucleotide long non-coding RNA. RefSeq lists it as uncharacterized. The record is from RefSeq and is a predicted model, not a curated record. NCBI's taxonomy places the organism in Eukaryota, Metazoa, Arthropoda, Insecta, Blattodea, Kalotermitidae. The transcript has 2 exons.
GUAAGUGUACAGUAGGCCUAACCUACAAGAAGUGUGUUAUUUUAUAUCUUUAGUAAGUAGAUUUGUACUAUUGCAAGUGUACCAGUGGGCCUAACCUAAAAUAAGUGUAUCAUUGUAUAUAGUGGGCCUUAAAAGAUUUGUGCCAGCAUAUACUCUUGUAAAUGUGGGGCCUGCAGAAGGAAGGUUAGCCAGGGGACAGGAUGUGAGGACUGUGGCCUGUGGUUUCAUUGGGAGUGUUCUGGCACCAAUAGUGAUUUGGCCAUAUUACCUUGGUACUGCAACUCCUGUGUGCAAGCCAAGGUAAUAAAGAAACAAGAGGAGACUAUCUUGAGUUUGAAAAGGGAGCUGGAACUUGCAAGAACUGAGAUUGACCUCUUAAAAGGGGAAUUAAAUUUAGUAGAUAAUUGUCCUGAAGAAUUUAGGACUGUGUCCAACUCCCGAAGAAAACUUAAAAAAGUUCCUUCUUCACUAGAUGUUAAGUUAGCUUUAACCAAUCGAUUUGAACCUCUAGCUAUGCUAGGGCCUCAGACUGAUGGUGACGCUAUAGAUCAGCCUGUGUUAGAGGCUAAGCCUAAGCGUAAGAUUCUAGUGCUGGGUAGCAGUCAUGGUAGGGGUAUCGGGCAGAGGCUACAGAAAGCAAUGGGAGAUGCAUAUGCUGUGACCAGCAUAUUCAAGCCCAAUGCUGAUCUGAGCAAUGUCACUGGGGACAUUGGAAAAUUGUGCAAAGGUUUU